Molecule: ribosomal RNA, 305 nt
Filed under: uncultured bacterium
Lineage: Bacteria
Description: bacterial SSU rRNA
Rfam family: Bacterial small subunit ribosomal RNA
Source: RNAcentral
UUUGCCUACGGGACGCAGCAGUGAGGAAUAUUGGUCAAUGGGCGAGAGCCUGAACCAGCCAAGUCGCGUGAAGGAUGACGGCCCUACGGGUUGUAAACUUCUUUUGUCAGGGAGAAAUUGAGUCCACGUGUGGGCUUAGCGAGAGUACCUGAAGAAAAAGCAUCGGCUAACUCCGUGCCAGCAGCCGCGGUAAUACGGAGGAUGCGAGCGUUAUCCGGAUUUAUUGGGUUUAAAGGGUGCGUAGGCGGAAUAUCAAGUCAGCGGUAAAAAUUCGUGGCUCAACCCCGUCGUGCCGUUGAGACUGG